GCAGUGGUAGCUCAGUGUCAGAGCGCCGGCCUUGUAAGCCGGCUGUCGGGGGCUAAAAUCCUCCCCGCUGCU
Molecule: transfer RNA, 72 nt
Filed under: Tridentiger bifasciatus (Shimofuri goby)
Lineage: Eukaryota; Metazoa; Chordata; Actinopteri; Gobiiformes; Gobiidae
Description: tRNA-Thr
Rfam family: tRNA
About the family: Transfer RNA (tRNA) molecules are approximately 80 nucleotides in length.
Source: RNAcentral